AUUACCUUUAUUCUGUUAUAAUAGUUUUGAACUUCAGCUGUUUGUGGUUGAUCUGGAUUCUCCUGUGUUGUGUGCAGUUGUUUAUCGCCCACCAAAACUCAACAAGAAUUUUAUCAGUGAAUUUUCUGAGU
Long non-coding RNA from Etheostoma spectabile (orangethroat darter), 131 nucleotides. RefSeq lists it as uncharacterized. The transcript has 3 exons. The record is from RefSeq and is a predicted model, not a curated record. Lineage: Eukaryota; Metazoa; Chordata; Actinopteri; Perciformes; Percidae.